AAAAUCCGUCACUUUAGAAAUCGUGAGGGUUCAAGUCCCUCUAUCCCCA
RNAcentral lists this transfer RNA (49 nucleotides) under Acacia dealbata. Its description in RNAcentral is "partial tRNA-Leu". RNAcentral also lists the same sequence under 2 other names. The record is from RNAcentral. Lineage: Eukaryota; Viridiplantae; Streptophyta; Magnoliopsida; Fabales; Fabaceae.